This is a long non-coding RNA of Polistes dominula (European paper wasp), 247 nucleotides long. NCBI's taxonomy places the organism in Eukaryota, Metazoa, Arthropoda, Insecta, Hymenoptera, Vespidae. The record is from RefSeq and is a predicted model, not a curated record.
AAAAGGAAGACAAAAACAAAAGAUCAGUGCUGCUGAAAGCAAAAUGAAGUGUGAAAGUGGAAUAAAAUCUGUUGACGAAGAGACCAUUAUGUCUUUGCUUGCUGAAAAUCUAUCUAUAUGAAAAUCUAUGAGGGCUAUCUAUAAAUUGUAUAUAUUUAAAAAAAAAAAGUAAUGAACUGCACAUAGCAUAAGUGAGUAGUUAGAAUUGUACAUUUGAAAUAAAAUAAAUUUGUAUCAUUUAUAUGAA